Vigna umbellata (rice bean) is the source of this 2408-nucleotide non-coding RNA. Lineage: Eukaryota; Viridiplantae; Streptophyta; Magnoliopsida; Fabales; Fabaceae. The record is from RefSeq and is a predicted model, not a curated record.
AUUCUUCCACGAAAUUCAAAAGCUAAGUAUCUCUCCUUUGUGUCGUGUUUUCAUUUGAUUCAUUAUUGUGUUGACAUUGUUUCGCAUCUCUGUUUUGAUGUUUUUCUCUGAUUCAUGUAAGGUUGAAUUUGUAUUGGCUUGUUUUGUCUUAAUUCUGAGUAUUAUAUGUUAAUUUUGCUCAUAAACUGUUUGUUUAAAUGUCUAAGAGAUCUAAUAUGAGAUUAUUCAUUCUUGAUAACUUAUUACUCUUCAUAUUAAAAUGGACUCUCUGUAUCCUCACGCCAAAGGCAUAUUGUCCUCAAGAAAUUGGGCUUCUCUUCAUUCGAGCACCGCUGUCCCUUUCAACUCCAUGCUCUUUUUCGAUGAUGAGAAUAAGAACAUCCAAUCGGUAAUAAUAUAAACUCUCACGUUUUCUUUUAAAUUCAUUUUGUUGUCAUCAUCAUCGGAUAUUAUGACAAGUUGGUAAGGAAUGACAAGUUGGUAGAAAUUGAUGGAAAGGAAGAUGCAAUCGAAAACAGAACAACUGAAGUAUUGAUGUUUGAAUUCCCUUUUUUGUCAUUGCUAAUUCUCUAUAACCUAACAAAUCUGAGCUGCUUUUAUCCUGAAAAACACCAUCUAGAAUGUCCCAAAUUAGAAAUCAUGCAUGUGGCCUACUGUCCCAAGUUGAAGCUAUUCACAUCAAAAAUUCAUGACAGUCACAAAGAAGCAAUUACAGAGGCUCCGAUAAAAUGCCUACAACAACCUCUGUUCAUUGUUGAAAAGGUUGUUCCCAAACUUAAGGAAUUGACACUGAACGAGAAAAACAUGAUGUUGAUGAGCGACGCACAUGUGCCACAACACUAUCUCAGCAAAUUAAAUCUUCUCCAAUUGUGCUUUGAGGAAGAUAAAAAUGAGAAAGGUACUUUGCCUUUUGAUUUCCUACACAGGGUACCUAAUUUAGAACAUUUUCGAGUGCAGAGAUGCUUUGGUAUCAAGGAGAUAUUUUCCUCUGAGAAAUUGCAAGUUCAUGAUGGAAUUCCUGCGACAUUGAAAGCAUUAACCCUAUUUGAACUAAAUGAGCUUGAGUCAAUAGGAUUCGAACACCCAUGGGUAAAGUCAUUCUCUGAAAAGCUUCAAACAUUAAGGGUUAUCAGUUGUCCUUGGUUGGAAAAAUUAGGGCGUGGCGCAAUGUCUUUCAUCAAUCUGAAAGUGUUGUAUGUGAUGGACUGUGCUCGAAUGGGGUAUUUAUUCACACUUUCAACUGCAAAAAGUUUAGUCCAACUUGAGACCCUAAUUGUAAGGAGAUGUGAAUCAAUAAAAGAAAUAGCAAUGAAGGAAGAUGAAGAUGAUUGUGAUGAGAUCAUAUUUGAAAGACUCAGAACAUUAACUUUGAAUUCCUUACCUCGACUACAAAGCUUCUUAUCAGGGAAUGCCACUAUGCAGUUUUCAUGUUUGAAAAAUGCAUAUGUAAUUAAUUGCCCCAAUAUGAAAACUUUCUCCGAAGGAGUCCUAACAGCCCCAAGGUUUUUUGGGAUUAAAACAUCAUAUGAGGAUUCAGAUUUAUUCUUCCAUGAUGAUCUAAACACAUCAUUUCAGAGAUUGUUUCAAAGACAGGUGGAAAAGUCUGCAUGAGAUAUAGAGCAUUUAAAAUUUGAUUAUCACUCACACCUACAAGAGAUUUGGCUUGGUGUAGCUCCAAUCCCAACAAACAAUUCUUUCAACAACUUGGAAUCUUUAACUGUGGUGGAAUGUGAAUCUUUUUCCAAUGUCAUCCCUUUUUAUUUACUUCCAUUUCUAUGUAACUUGAAAGAGAUUGAGGUAAGCAACUGUCAAUCUGUGAAGGCAAUAUUUGAUGUGAAUGAUGCAGCAGCAGAUAUGAAACCGAUUUCUCUUCCUUUGAAGAAACUCAUUCUAAAUCAGUUGCCAAAUCUGGAGCACAUCUGGAAUCUGAAUCCUGAUGAAAUUCUGAGCCUUCAAGACUUGCAACAAGUGUCAAUUUCUAACUGUCAAACCCUUAAAAGUUUGUUUCCAACAUCAGUGGCCAAUCAUCUUGUUAAGCUUCAUGUGAGAGCUUGUGGAACAUUGGUAUAAAUUUUUGCAGUGGCUGAUGCAGCCAUCAAUGGAAAAACUAAGCAGCUCAAUUUCCAUUGUCUGACCUCAUUAACACUAUGGGAAUUGUCUGACCUCACUUUUUGACGAAAAUAGUAUGCUACAAAAAGUGAAUUUAGAGUACAAAAUAAGCUGCAGUUGAAGCACUUUGAAGAUGGUAGAGAAAGUGGAAGAGUUUAACAUGAACUGAGUGAUAGAGGAAUUUGAGAGGGUGACAAAGGAUGCUAAGAGGUUCAGGACUGCAAAAGGAAUAGAAAAUUAGGAUAAUUUAUUUAUUUUUUAGUUCAAGACAAAAAGAAAACAAUUGUUUCUUUCUUUUU